RNAcentral lists this ribosomal RNA (253 nucleotides) under uncultured bacterium. RNAcentral describes it as "partial 16S ribosomal RNA". It matches the Rfam family "Bacterial small subunit ribosomal RNA", at positions 524 to 776 of the family's 1533-position model. The record is from RNAcentral.
UACGUAGGGGGCAAGCGUUGUCCGGAAUCAUUGGGCGUAAAGCGCGCGUAGGCGGCCCUGUAAGUCCGUUGUGAAAGUCGAAGGCUCAACCUUCGAAAGCCGAUGGAUACUGCAGGGCUAGAGUCCGGAAGAGGCGAGUGGAAUUCCUGGUGUAGCGGUGGAAUGCGCAGAUAUCAGGAGGAACACCGGUGGCGAAGGCGGAUCUCUGGGCCUUACCUGACGCUGAGGCGCGAAAGCUAGGGGAGCGAACAGG